This 448-nucleotide ribosomal RNA is filed under the name uncultured bacterium. RNAcentral describes it as "bacterial SSU rRNA". It matches the Rfam family "Bacterial small subunit ribosomal RNA", at positions 30 to 471 of the family's 1533-position model. The record is from RNAcentral.
AUUGAACGCUGGCGGAAUGCUUUACACAUGCAAGUCGAGCGGCAGCGCGGGGCAACCUGGCGGCGAGCGGCGAACGGGUGAGUAAUGCAUCGGAACAUGUCCAUGUCGUGGGGGAUAGCCCGGCGAAAGCCGGAUUAAUACCGCAUACGCUCGAGAGAGGAAAGCCGGGGACCGCAAGGCCUGGCGCGAUUGGGUUGGCCGAUGUCCGAUUAGCUAGUUGGUGAGGUAAAGGCUUACCAAGGCGAUGAUCGGUAGCUGGUCUGAGAGGAUGAUCAGCUACACUGGGACUGAGACACGGCCCAGACUCCUACGGGAGGCAGCAGUGGGGAAUUUUGGACAAUGGGGGCAACCCUGAUCCAGCCAUUCCGCGUGAGUGAAGAAGGCCUUCGGUUGUAAGACGUCUUUGUUCCUUGAGCGAACGGAAGUAGGUGGAAUAUCACUUCUACUG